AGUUGAUUUACAAUGUUCUGUCAAUUUCUGCUGUACAGCAAAGUGACCCAGUUAUACAUACAUACGUACAUUCUUUUUCUGAUAUUAUCCUCCAUCAGGCUCCAUCACAAGUGACUACACAGAGCUCCCUGUGCUAUACUGCAGGAUCUUAUUGCUUAUCCACUCCAAAUACAAUAAUUUGCAUCUCCUAACCCCAAACUCCCAGUCCAUCCCACUCCCUCCCCCACCCCCUCAGCAACCACAAGUCUGUUCUCCAAGUCUAUGGAUUUGUUUCUUUUCUGUAGAUAGGUUCAUUUGUGCCGUGUAUUAUAUUCCAGAUAUAAGUGAUAUUAUAUGGUAUUUGUCUUUCUCUUUCUUACUUCACUUCGUAUGAGAGUCUCUAGUUCCAUCCAUGUUGCUGUAAAUGGCAUUAUUUUGUUCUUUUUAUGGGUGAGUACUAUUCCAUGAGGAACGUGCACACUAUUUAGUUCGGCCUGCUAUAACAAAAUCCCACAGAGUGGGUAGCUCAUAAAUAGCAGACAUGCAUUUCUCCCUGUACUGAAGGCUGAGAAAUCCAGGACAAAGGCAACCGCAGAUUCAGUGUCGGGUCAGGACGUGGUUCCUAGACAGCGGGCUUCUUGCUAUGUCCUCACUCGGCAGAAGGGCCGAGGGAGCUCCCUGGGGUCUCUGCUUUGAGGGCAUUAAGCCUAAUCCUGAAGGCUCUGUCCCUGGGACCCAAUCACCUCUCCAGGACUCACCUCCCAACACCAACACACCUUGGGUUAGGCUUCGACAUGGGAAUUUUGAGAGUAACACACCAUUACGUCUGUAGCACACACCAACAACCUUGGAAGCUUGUGACAGGUGGUGAUUUUCAAUUGGCAAAAGCAGUCCGAGGAGGCAACUCAGCCUCUGCACUUCUACCAAGCUCUCAGGUGACGCCUAGGCUGCAGAUCUUGCUAAUUUGAACAGCGUAUUUCUCUACAGCCUCUUAGUUGCCUGUAUCCUUACAUUCCUAAUUGUUAGUUAACACUUUUUUUUCCAUUCUGGUUAUUCCUCUUGCUAACUGUGAGGCACCCUGGUCCCUUCCCACAAAAUUAUCAACCAUACCCUGGUGCAAACAUAAGGCUUUGAUUAUGCAAUACCUAGGCAGCGGUUCACGGAAAAAGUCAACUCCGAUAUUAGGGGCCAAAGCCCCAUUAAUAAAAAUCAUCAUUAGAACCAUCACUUAUAUUCAGGCUGUUUGGAAAACAAUAAACUGCCCAGACAUUUAAAUUAAUGUGUGUUCAAUACACGAAGAGAGAUGAUCCACGUCUCAUUCCCAUGCUAUGAUCACAUGGAUGCCCUAAUACACUGGUCACACAUCCCCACCACUGAAAUCGACAGGCGUGAUCAAGGCUUCCCGCCAGUUUCCUAAGCUGCAGCGCACUUGGCCGUCACCCCGCAGCCAACAGCUCGGUAUUACUUUAUGCCACGGCUCUUUCCUCUAACAACUGCACCAGGUGUAUCGUGAUAAGAUGAGCCUGUGCAUGAGCACACCACAGGCCUCCCUCACAAGCCUCAAAGGGCUCUUUUGCAUGAACAUUAAAAAAAGGAGCUCUUUUCCAUGGAUUUAAGGGGGCAAAGUGUCAAAUACUGUUUAACACCACAGUUAGCAGCUCAGACGUCCCUAGGCCCGCUAAGCACACAUAAAUAAAGCUAGAUGCACUGUGGGCCUGACAGCCUUGGGCAGCUCUCCAUUUUUCAGUUUAUUUCAAUCCCAGGCAAAAGCAGAGAGGAAGAAAAUGGGUGGUUGUGGACCAAAAGAAUCAUCCUAAAACAUCCUUCUAAGAAAUAAAGAAUCAAAGAAGGAGAAUGCCACUGAAAGAAGUGCCUUCAAAGUAUUUAGCACUUUCUCAAAAUACAUGGAAAGAGUGUGUAACACACUGCUCUCGCUCCGCUUUAACUGCAGCCUCUCAUCUCGGCCAUGGUUUCGGCACUGGAAGUCCAAUUACAACAAAAAUGCACUUUUUCCAGGGUGAUUUCUAAACCCUCGAGUUCUCUUUAUGCACAACUCCUCUCCAUUACAUUAGGACGCCCCGGUCACAUUCUUUCCUUUCUCGGACAUCCGUGACUCCUUCCGGUUCAAGACGGCUUCCUGUGGUUUGCUUCUUGUCAGAAUACCUCUGAUAUCCUCAGGAGAAGCUCUGUGACUCCUGCAAUUUGUUUUCUGCAGCAACCAACUCCACGUACCUCGGGUCUGCUUCCCGGAGGACCUGCUGACCUCGUCACACUUCUGCGGAGAGAUGGGAUCGAGGGACACGCAGCUUGAAGGUCACGGGUGCGCAUUUAACCCCCUCACUGAGAAGUGAAGACAACUUCAGCAGAUCUGAGAAAUAAUUUUGUCCAGGACCCCAGGUCCUGGCACUUCCUAGGCAGUUACCUGUCCCUUUUCUAACACACCAAAGAAUCUGCAGUCUCUCUGAGCCACUGCGACAAGUCUUCGACUUUAUUCGUACCACUCAUUUCUCCUGUAACAUAAGAUCUUCUUCAGUAUUUGGGAGACGGAUGACAUUUCCUGUCCUUCCUCCAACCGUUCCUAUGCACUUACAAUCUGUACUUAAAUCACCAUUUACUUAUCUGCAUGGGAAAUAGUUCUCAAUGCCUGUUAACUUUUGCUCACAGGGCCUAUUUCCCAAACCAUUAGUCAUGCUCCAGAUGUUUUCAGCAGAGAAUCCUGGAGAAGGAUUACUGAUGAUUAUUCUAUGCUGUAUUCCCACCUAAACAUCCCUAAUUCUGAGUGAGCAGUUUGAAGAUGAUAAAGGUAAAAUUAGGUUUAACCAGUGGAUAGGAGGUGUGUCUCCCAGGAAUGGCUUCAACUCCAUUCAAUCAGGGAGAACUACCAUUUCUAAGUACCCAUAAAUGUUUAAAAUUUUGCUGACAAGGUAAAAACAUUUUUACAGGGUGUUCCCGUUGUGGCACAGUGGAAAUGAAUCCAACUAGGAGCCAUGAGGCGUCGGGUUCAAUCCCUGGCCUUGCUCAGUGGGUUACGGAUCCAGCAUUACCGUGAGCCGUGGUGUAGGUCACAGACGUGGCUCGGAUCCUGUGGCUCUGGCGUAGGCUGGCAGCUGUAGCUCCAAUUAGACCCCUAGCCUGGGAAUCUCCACAUGCCACGGGUGCAGCCCUAAAAAUCCAAAAAAAAAAAAAUUUUUUUACAAAAGCAUCAACAAUCCCAUGGAAAGGUUCCACUGCCAUGAAGAGAAGAGACUAAAUGCAAAUGACCUAAUUUUAACUGGUUCCUGUGAGUCACAUUAUAAUUAUAACUGUUUUAAAGAGAGAUUAGCCCAAAAGGAAAUUCCCACACUUCUAAUCUAGAAUUUGAAAGCAUUUUUAAUCACUGUUCUGGAAAUUCUCAUACUGCAUGUAAAUAAAUCAUUCAUGAUUCUCUCUAAAUACAAUACACUCUGGAAGCUUCUUUCGAAAAAAAUGAGAGCACUGCAUUUGUUUAUCUAAAUAAGAGGGAAGGGGAAAAAACUGCACUGAAACAAGUUACAAAGUUUGAUAUAACUCAGCAAAAUGACAGAUUUGGUGGGAACACUUAAAAAACAACAAAUCAUGAACGGGGAGUUUAAGUCAGAACCUAGGAUAGAAGUGCCAGUCAGAAGCAGCCCACCUGGAAUCUCUCUCUGCUUCUACUCCUGCCACACUAAGAGAAGUUCUGCGGUCACACUCUGGAGAUGGUGCAAGGGACAGAGUCUAGGUCGUUCUUUCGAUGUGGACUGCUU
RNAcentral lists this long non-coding RNA (3743 nucleotides) under Sus scrofa (pig). RNAcentral's name for it is "lncRNA (ENSSSCG00055027856.1)". Lineage: Eukaryota; Metazoa; Chordata; Mammalia; Artiodactyla; Suidae. The record is from RNAcentral.